AGUGGGGAAUAUUGGACAAUGGGCGAAAGCCUGAUCCAGCAAUGCCGCGUGAGUGAUGAAGGCCCUAGGGUUGUAAAGCUCUUUUACCCGGGAUGAUAAUGACAGUACCGGGAGAAUAAGCCCCGGCUAACUCCGUGCCAGCAGCCGCGGUAAUACGGAGGGGGCUAGCGUUGUUCGGAAUCACUGGGCGUAAAGCGCACGUAGGCGGCUUUGUAAGUCAGAGGUGAAAGCCCGGGGCUCAACCCCGGAUGUGCCUUUGAGACUGCAGGGCUUGAACACGGGAGAGGUGAGUGGAAUUCCGAGUGUAGAGGUGAAAUUCGUAGAUAUUCGGAAGAACACCAGUGGCGAAGGCGGCUCACUGGACCGUUGUUGACGCUGAGGUGCGAAAGCGUGGGGAGCAAA
Molecule: ribosomal RNA, 402 nt
Filed under: uncultured Sphingomonas sp.
Lineage: Bacteria; Pseudomonadati; Pseudomonadota; Alphaproteobacteria; Sphingomonadales; Sphingomonadaceae
Description: bacterial SSU rRNA
Rfam family: Bacterial small subunit ribosomal RNA
Source: RNAcentral